AUAGUUUAUUCCCACCUCCAGCAGCCCAUGAGAGAAAGUUUUAAUGAGUGUAAUGUCUGCUUGAGAUCUGCUGUACUUUCUUGACCCAUUUGGAUGUGGUGCUCCAGGACAUGAUUUAGUGGAAACAAAUGCUAAGGAUGAUAGUGCAGCUGCUGUGCACCUGUGUAAUCACUGACCUUGGUGGCAUAGUAGUUCCAUGUCAAGGAUAUGAGAAGGAAGAUGUUACCUUGAGAUUUGUACAUGCACGUCUGCCAGCACAGUUGCCAGUUUUCCUUUAUGUUAAUUUGCCAGCAGCCGGA
This 299-nucleotide long non-coding RNA is filed under the name Numida meleagris (helmeted guineafowl). RNAcentral describes it as "lncRNA (ENSNMEG00000010499.1)". The record is from RNAcentral. Lineage: Eukaryota; Metazoa; Chordata; Aves; Galliformes; Numididae.